CGUUAUGCUUGCUGUAUCGCUGUGUUGCUUUCUCCAUCCCUCACUGAUGCCGGGAGGGCACACACACACACACACAUCUCCGUGCGUGGUAUCCUCAGGGCACUGUGGCACGCGCUCUCCUUCUCUCUCUGCGUGGAUGCCCAGGCAGCUCCUAUUUAUCCCCUGCCCAACGUCGAAUGCAUCUCUUCUGCUGACAGGGUCCAAGUGCCGACGACGUAGGGAGGCCGGAGCGAUGCAUUGCUGCUGAUGCCGGCGGUCAGGUGAUGGGCAGUGUGGCGUCAGGGCGACCUGCGUCCGUGCACACACUUGUGCCAUCCACAUGAUGGGCAGAGUGUCAGCCUGGCUCGAGCGCAACCUAUCACCCGGAGCCCCUCGCACUGGCCCACUGAUGUGUGUGUGUGUGUGUGGGAGGGCGGGAGACCUGAGGCGCGUGGGGUGGGUGGAGUUUAAUGCCGGGGCCGUGCUCGCAGAUGACUACGUCGCCGCAUUGCUGUACGUUGCGCGUGUCUAGCGCUGCUUUGGACCAGGCGCAUGGCGCCCUCUGACGGGGCCGGUGGGGUCGAGCGAAGUUGAGCUCGUGUCACACGGCAGAGACUGGUCACGUUGCAGGUAAGGAGAGUCGUUGCUCUUGCCUCGCUCACACCAAAGGCACCCUCUCGUUGGCAAUUUUGUUUUCGUUGUCGCGCUCUCUUCACUGUUCUGACCGCGACGGAGGCGACGACUUUUCACCACCAAACGGUGAACGCUCUGUCUCCUUGUGAAAUGUGUGUGUGUGUGUGUUUCUCGGGGGUUGCACUUGUUGUCGUUGUGGUUUCGUGGACAGGGCCUCCCAGGGCCCUGACCUGAAUCUGGCCAACUUCCUCCUUGAACUCAUCCGGCAUGCACCUGGACCACCCCUUCUUACUCGUCAAGCGACAGAGUCCAAUGCCUGCGCCCUGACGCACAACCGUGCACGCGACCUACACCAAUCCACGGCGUGUAGGGCUAACCGGGUCACCGUCUGGCGCCUCCGGCACUGCACAGGUCGGAAGAAGGGCUGAGGCAGGACAGGAAGAGCCCGUUAGGCGGGCGGCCCCGAUUGCAUGGCAUGAUGGCUCGCCCUAGACGGUCAGGAUUCCGCUGUGGCGCAGGAGUGGCCGGUGAGCUGCGGUUGUGGGCGUAUGCUGUUGCAGACUUGUUCGCGGUUGAGUGGACACGUUGGAAUAAAAUCGUGGUCGGGGUUAUGUCUUGCCUUGCUUCCAUAGAGCAACUCUGGCUCCAACGUACGUGCAGAAGUGAUAUAUAUAUAUAUGCAGAGAAGAAAGCAAGUCUUCUAGCACGGCGUCAGUGCGGACAAGUUCCUCGGCAGUGGUCAGUGAUUACAGCCUUUGCCGUAAAACCUGAAAAGCAGCGGCGGAAGAAGAAACGAGUCACGGUCUGUAUCAAAACAUCCUUACAUGAUCGCUGUCAGAGGUGCGGGGCAUGCAACACUGUGCUUUUUUUUUCAGCACGCUGCGACGUGAAUCCUGCCGGUGUUCUACGGAUCGCUUGUGCAUCGUUGUGCGGUCAUCGCUUUAUUCCUCCGCUUCGCUUCGUGUUUGGCCUCGCAGCUGUAUGCCACCCUCUCUUCAUGCAGCCCACUCUCUCUCACGCACACACACGUAUUGGUCUGGCUGUGGGGCGCCCUCAUGCACAAACGGCUGGCGAAAACGUCUGGGCGCCCCCCCGAAG
This 1710-nucleotide unclassified non-coding RNA is filed under the name Leishmania donovani. Its description in RNAcentral is "gene:unknown". The record is from RNAcentral. Lineage: Eukaryota; Euglenozoa; Kinetoplastea; Trypanosomatida; Trypanosomatidae.